This 253-nucleotide ribosomal RNA is filed under the name uncultured bacterium. RNAcentral's name for it is "partial 16S ribosomal RNA". It matches the Rfam family "Bacterial small subunit ribosomal RNA", at positions 524 to 776 of the family's 1533-position model. The record is from RNAcentral.
UACAGAGGGUGCGAGCGUUAAUCGGAAUUACUGGGCGUAAAGCGCGCGUAGGCGGCUUUGCAAGUCGGGUGUGAAAUCCCCAGGCUUAACCUGGGAACUGCAUUCGAGACUGCAUUGCUAGAGUAUGGGAGAGGGAAGUGGAAUUUCCGGUGUAGCGGUGAAAUGCGUAGAUAUCGGAAGGAACAUCAGUGGCGAAGGCGGCGACCUGGGCCAAUACUGACGCUGAGGCACGAAGGUCAGGGGAGCAAACGGG